RNAcentral lists this long non-coding RNA (503 nucleotides) under Salmo salar (Atlantic salmon). RNAcentral describes it as "lncRNA (ENSSSAG00000107798.1)". The record is from RNAcentral. Lineage: Eukaryota; Metazoa; Chordata; Actinopteri; Salmoniformes; Salmonidae.
GAGGUGGUACAGCCUAUAGAUUCUACAGUAGGUAAAGGAUGAGGUGGUACAGCCUAUAGAUUCUACAGUAGGUAAAGGAUGAGGUGGUACAGCCCAUAGAUUCUACAGGAGGUAAAGGAUGAGGUGGUACAGCCUAUAGAUUCUACAGUAAGUAAAGGAUGAGGUGGUACAGCCCAUAGAUUCUACAGUAUGUAAAGGAUGAGGUGGUACAGCCUAUAGAUUCUACAGUAGGUAAAGGAGGUAAAGGAUGAGGUGGUACAGCCUAUAGAUUCUACAGAGGUAAAGGAGGAGGUGAUACAGCCUAUAGAUUCUACAGGAGGUAAAGGAGGAGGUGAUACAGCCUAUAGAUUCUACUGGAGGUAAAGGAUGAGGUGGUACAGCCUAUAGAUUCUACAGGAGGUAAAGGAGGUAAAGGAUGAGGUGGUACAGCCUAUAGAUUCUACAGUAGGUAAAGGAGGUAAAGGAUGAGGUGGUACAGCCUAUAGAUUCUACAGUAGGUAAAG